Molecule: microRNA precursor, 94 nt
Filed under: Canis lupus dingo (dingo)
Lineage: Eukaryota; Metazoa; Chordata; Mammalia; Carnivora; Canidae
Description: mir-8834 microRNA precursor family
Rfam family: mir-8834 microRNA precursor family
Source: Rfam by way of RNAcentral
AGGAGGAACAGCCCCAGUGGCGGGGCAGCUCUGGAAACCUGGAUUCAGCUCAGGCAGGAACUCCGUCUGCAGGGCCUGGAGGCUCCGGGGCGGG